AGCGAACGCUGGCGGCAGGCCUAACACAUGCAAGUCGAACGAACCUUUCGGGGUUAUUGGCGGACGGGGGAGUAACCCGUGGGAACGUGCCUUUAGGUUCGGAAUAACUCAGGGAAACUUGUGCUAAUACCGAAUGUGCCCUUCGGGGGAAAGAUUAAUCGCCUUUAGAGCGGCCCGCGUCUGAUUAGCUAGUUGGUUGAGGUAAUGGCUCACCAAGGCGACGAUCAGUAGCUGGUCUGAGAGGAUGGUCAGCCACAUUGGGACUGAGACACGGCCCAAACUCCUACGGGAGGCAGCAGUGGGGAAUCUUGCGCAAUGGGCGAAAGCCUGACGCAGCCAUGCCGCGUGAAUGAUGAAGGUCUUAGGAUUGUAAAAUUCUUUCACCGGGGACGAUAAUGACGGUACCCGGAGAAGAAGCCCCGGCUAACUUCGUG
RNAcentral lists this ribosomal RNA (434 nucleotides) under uncultured bacterium. Its description in RNAcentral is "partial 16S ribosomal RNA". It matches the Rfam family "Bacterial small subunit ribosomal RNA", at positions 29 to 507 of the family's 1533-position model. The record is from RNAcentral.